ACCUUGAUAGCUUAAAUUUAGAAAGUUUAAUAUUGAAGAUAUUAAGAUAAGUAUAUUACUUUCAUGGUA
Molecule: transfer RNA, 69 nt
Filed under: Lasiolabops cosmopolites
Lineage: Eukaryota; Metazoa; Arthropoda; Insecta; Hemiptera; Miridae
Description: tRNA-Phe
Source: RNAcentral